Molecule: ribosomal RNA, 576 nt
Filed under: uncultured eukaryote
Lineage: Eukaryota
Description: SSU rRNA
Rfam family: Eukaryotic small subunit ribosomal RNA
Source: RNAcentral
UAAAAACCCCGACUUCGGAAGGGGUGUAUUUAUUAGAUACAAAACCAAUGCCCUUCGGGGCUCUUUGGUGAUUCAUGAUAACUAUACGAAUCGCACGGCCUUGCGCCGGCGAUGGUUCAUUCAAAUUUCUUCCCUAUCAACUUUCGAUGUUUGGGUAUUGGCCAAACAUGGUUGCAACGGGUAACGGAGGGUUAGGGCUCGACCCCGGAGAAGGAGCCUGAGAAACGGCUACUACAUCCAAGGAAGGCAGCAGGCGCGCAAAUUACCCAAUCCCGACUCGGGGAGGUAGUGACAAUAAAUACUGAUACAGGGCCCUUUCGGGCCUUGUAAUUGGAAUGAGUACAAUUUAAAUCCCUUAACGAGGAACAAUUGGAGGGCAAGUCUGGUGCCAGCAGCCGCGGUAAUUCCAGCUCCAAUAGCGUAUAUUAAAGUUGUUGUGGUUAAAAAGCUCGUAGUUGAACCUUGGGCCUGGCUGGCCGGUACGCCUCACCGCGUGCACUGGUCAGGCCGGGCCUUUCCCUCUGUGGAACCCCAACCCUUCAUUGAGCGUGGCGGGGUAAUAGAAAAGUAAAAUGA